CGCCGCCACGGGAAUACGUAGGUGGCAAGCGUUGUCCGGAUUUAUUGGGCGUAAAGCGAGCGCAGGCGGUUUCUUAAGUCUGAUGUGAAAGCCCCCGGCUCAACCGGGGAGGGUCAUUGGAAACUGGGAGACUUGAGUGCAGAAGAGGAGAGUGGAAUUCCAUGUGUAGCGGUGAAAUGCGUAGAUAUAUGGAGGAACACCAGUGGCGAAGGCGGCUCUCUGGUCUGUAACUGACGCUGAGGCUCGAAAGCGUGGGGAGCAAACAGGAUUAGAUACCCCAGUAGUCCCUGUCUCUUAUACC
This 301-nucleotide ribosomal RNA is filed under the name uncultured bacterium. RNAcentral's name for it is "partial 16S ribosomal RNA". It matches the Rfam family "Bacterial small subunit ribosomal RNA", at positions 510 to 808 of the family's 1533-position model. The record is from RNAcentral.